ACACGACUACAUUAGAUACCCGGGUAGUCCUAGCCGUAAACGAUACUCGCUAGGCGUCGGCCACGGUGCGACCGUUGUCGGUGCCGUAGGGAAGCCGUGAAGCGAGCCACCUGGGAAGUACGGCCGCAAGGCUGAAACUUAAAGGAAUCGGCGGGGGAGCACCACAACGGGUGGAGCUUGCGGUUUAAUUGGAUUCAACGCCGGAAAUCUUACCGGGACCGACAGCAACAUGAAGGCCAGGCUGAAGACUUUGCCGGAUUAGCUG
This 265-nucleotide ribosomal RNA is filed under the name uncultured archaeon. RNAcentral describes it as "partial 16S ribosomal RNA". It matches the Rfam family "Archaeal small subunit ribosomal RNA", at positions 717 to 982 of the family's 1478-position model. The record is from RNAcentral.